This 327-nucleotide ribosomal RNA is filed under the name uncultured bacterium. Its description in RNAcentral is "bacterial SSU rRNA". It matches the Rfam family "Bacterial small subunit ribosomal RNA", at positions 28 to 334 of the family's 1533-position model. The record is from RNAcentral.
GACGAACGCUGGCGGCGUGCUUAACACAUGCAAGUCGAACGGGGAUUAUCGACUGGAAGUUUUCGGAUGGAAGGAUGGUAAUUCUAGUGGCGAACGGGUGAGUAACGCGUGAGCAAUCUGACCUAAACAGGGGGAUAACAACGGGAAACCGUUGCUAAUACCGCAUAAGACCACAAUGUCGCAUGACGAAGGGGUCAAAGGAGGAAUCCGGUUUAGGAGGGGCUCGCGUCCCAUUAGCUAGUUGGUAAGGUAAAGGCUUACCAAGGCGACGAUGGGUAGCCGGUCUGAGAGGAUGAACGGCCACACUGGGACUGAGACACGGCCCAG